This 327-nucleotide ribosomal RNA is filed under the name uncultured eukaryote. RNAcentral describes it as "partial 18S ribosomal RNA". It matches the Rfam family "Eukaryotic small subunit ribosomal RNA", at positions 1470 to 1796 of the family's 1831-position model. The record is from RNAcentral.
CCCUUAGAUGUCCUGGGCCGCACGCGCGUUACACUGAUGCAUUCAACGAGCCUAUAACCUUGGCCGAGAGGCCUGGGCAAUCUUGUUAACGUGCAUCGUGAUAGGGAUAGAUUAUUGAAAUUAUUAAUCUUGAACGAGGAAUUCCUAGUAAACGCAGAUCAUCAAUCUGCAUUGAUUACGUCCCUGCCCUUUGUACACACCGCCCGUCGCACCUACCGAUUGGAUGGUCCGGUGAAGCCUCGGGAUUGUGGUUAGUUUCCUUCAUUGGAAGUUAGCCGCGAGAACUUGUCUAAACCUUAUCAUUUAGAGGAAGGUGAAGUCGUAACA